GACGAACGCUGGCGGCGUGCUUAACACAUGCAAGUCGAACGGAAAGGCCCUGCUUUUGUGGGGUGCUCGAGUGGCGAACGGGUGAGUAACACGUGAGUAACCUGCCCUUGACUUUGGGAUAACUUCAGGAAACUGGGGCUAAUACCGGAUAGGAGCUCCUGCUGCAUGGUGGGGGUUGGAAAGUUUCGGCGGUUGGGGAUGGACUCGCGGCUUAUCAGCUUGUUGGUGGGGUAGUGGCUUACCAAGGCUUUGACGGGUAGCCGGCCUGAGAGGGUGACCGGCCACAUUGGGACUGAGAUACCGCCCCGACUCCUACGGGAGGCAGCAGUGGGGAAUAUUGCACAAUGGGCGGAAGCCUGAUGCAGCAACGCCGCGUGCGGGAUGACGGCCUUCGGGUUGUAAACCGCUUUCGCCUGUGACGAAGCGUGAGUGACGGUAAUGGGUAAAGAAGCACCGGCUAACUACGUG
This 468-nucleotide ribosomal RNA is filed under the name uncultured bacterium. Its description in RNAcentral is "partial 16S ribosomal RNA". It matches the Rfam family "Bacterial small subunit ribosomal RNA", at positions 28 to 507 of the family's 1533-position model. The record is from RNAcentral.